GCCUGGCUGGCUCAGUCGGUAGAGCAUGUGAUUCUUGAUCUCGAGGGUUGUGAGUUCAAGCCACACGUUGGGUG
This 74-nucleotide transfer RNA is filed under the name Felis catus (domestic cat). It matches the Rfam family "tRNA". Rfam says of the family: Transfer RNA (tRNA) molecules are approximately 80 nucleotides in length. Their secondary structure includes four short double-helical elements and three loops (D, anti-codon, and T loops). Further hydrogen bonds mediate the characteristic L-shaped molecular structure. tRNAs have two regions of fundamental functional importance: the anti-codon, which is responsible for specific mRNA codon recognition, and the 3' end, to which the tRNAs corresponding amino acid is attached (by aminoacyl-tRNA synthetases). tRNAs cope with the degeneracy of the genetic code in two manners: having more than one tRNA (with a specific anti-codon) for a particular amino acid; and 'wobble' base-pairing, i.e. permitting non-standard base-pairing at the 3rd anti-codon position. Lineage: Eukaryota; Metazoa; Chordata; Mammalia; Carnivora; Felidae. The record is from Rfam by way of RNAcentral.